AUGAAACUUCUUUUCCCUUCCAACAAGGCUUUCCCACUCCUAAGACCGUUACACUUGACCCAUCAAGGGGCACAGCUGUAAGGACCAAAACUGUGCACCUUGGCUAAUGUGCGUAACUGCACGAGGUUCACCUCGCUGGAAUAAGAUCGAAUUUUCAGCCCCUUUAGCAGUACAGCAGGGGUGCUGAUCACUAAGGCCCUAACUGUGGCCUGUAAUGUGGGUGAAUUUGGUUGUCUGAGUUCCUGUGUACUGAACAAGGAACCCACCCCCCUCCCGGCAACCCUGCCUUCCCCUGUCCUAUUCCUCUUCCUCUCCUUUCUAACAGGGACUGCCCACUCAUCAGACCUUUACACUGAACUCCUGAAGGUGCACAAUUGUAAUGACCCAAACUGUUCACCUUGAUUACUAAUGUGCAUAACUGGGCAUAGCACUGGAAUAAGAUCCUGUUUCCCACCUCUUGCAGUAUAGCAGAGGUAUUGAUCACUAGGGCCCUAAUCUUGGCCUAUUAUAUGGGUCAUUGUGUUUGAGCUCCUGUGUAGUAAUUUUCCCCCCUAGUAGUAAUUUUCUCUCUCAUUUGAAUAAGGUCCAACUUUCAGCCCCUUUUUGCCGUACAGCAAGGUUGGUGAUUAUAAGGCUGUAGUAUUGGCCUGUUGCAUGGAUGAUUGGGCCUGUCUCAGUUUCUGUAUAGUAGGCCCUCUCCCCACCUCUGCUGUGCUCUCCUGUAAUCAACUUCCUUUCCUUUUCAAAAGGGGCUUCCACUCCAUAGGACUCUUACACUUGACCAGUCAAGUUGCAGAACUGUAAGGACCAAACCCAUGCACCUUGAAUAUUCAUGUGCAUGACUAUAUGUGGUUCAUCUCAUUUGAAUGAGAUCCUACUUUCAGCCCCUUUUUGCUAUAUAGCAGGGGUGCUGAUUACUAAGGCCUUUAUUCUUGGCCUCUUAUGUUGGUGAUUAUGUUUUUCGGAGUUUCUAUUUAUUAUGCAGGAACGGUCCUCCCCAACCCUCUCCUGCCUUCUCUCAUCCAACUUCCUUUCCCUCCUAGCAGGGACUGCCCAUUCCGUAAGACCCUUACACUUCGCCGGUGUGCACAGUUGUGAUGACCAAAGUCAUGCACCUGGAAUACCAACUUGCAUGACUGCGCAUAGUUUGUCUCAUUUGCGUAAGAUCUUACUCUCAGCUCGUUGGAAGACAGCAGGGGUACCAAUUGAUUACUAAGCCUGCUGAUCUUAGCCUAUUAUAUGGGUGAUUAUGUUUGUCUGAAUACCUGUGUAUCAGACCUUUCUCCUCAACCCUGCUCUGCCUUCCCCUGCUCCAACUUCCUUUCUCUUCCAGCAGGGACUCUCUACUCCGUAACACCCUUACAGUUGAACAGGCAAGGAGUUCAAUGCCUUGUAAUUGUAAUGAUCAAAACCAUGCACCUUGAAUGCUCGUGUGUAUAGCAGCAGGUAGUACAUCCAUUUGAAUAAGAUCCUACUUUCAGCCUCUUGGUACAACAGGGGUGCUGAUUAUUAAGUGCUCUAAUCUUGGCCUGUUAUAUGGGUGAUUAUUUGUCUGAGUUCCUAUGUACUAAAUAAGGAACCUUCCCCGCCUGCAUCCAACUACCUUUCUCUUCCAGCAAGAACUGCCUGCUCCAUGAGAGCCUAAUAUUGAAUAAUAAAGGUGCACAAUUUUUUUAUCACAACUAUAUAGCUGGAAUACUAAUGUGUGUAACUGCACAUGCUUUGUACCAUUUGAAUAUGGUCCUUCUCAGCCCCUUUUCCGAUACAGCAGGCAUGCUGAUCACUAAGGCCCCUAUUCUCAGCCUGUUAUGUGGCUUAUUGUGUUUGAGUUCCUGUGUGUACUAGACAAGGGCCUCCCCCCAGGUCUCCCCUGCCUUCUUCCAUCCAUCUUCCUUUCCUUUGCAGCCCACUCUGUAAGACUCUAACACUUGCACAGUCAAGGUGCAUAACUGUAAUGACCAGCAUCACAUACCUUAAGCUAUAAUGUAACUUCACAUGGUUCAUCCCAUUUGACUAAGAUGCUACUCUCAGCCCCUUUUACAAUACAACAGGGACGCUGAUCAUUAAGGCUCCUAUUGGUCUGUUAUGUGGGCAUUUGUUUGUUUGAAUUCCUGUGUAUUAGACAAGGAACCCUCUCAACCCCGCCCUGCCCUCUCCCAUCCUUCUUUUCCCUUCUAGAUGGAACUUCCCGCCCCAUAAGACCCUGAUACUUGAACCAUGAAGGUGACCAAUUACAUUGAUCCCAGUCGUGAACCUUCAGUACUACUGUGCAUAACUGCACCCGGUUCAUCCCAUUUGAGUAAAAUGCUACCCUCAGGCAGUUCUUUGGCAAUACAGCAGAGGUGUUGAUCACUAAUGCACCUAUUCUUGGCUUAUGUAGGCCUUUAUACUUGUCCAGCUUGUUGUGUACUAUACAAGGAAACCUCUGCCCUGAUCCUUGUCUUCCAACUUCAGAGAUGAGUACUGCAUAAGAACGUUAUGCUUAAACCAUCAAAGUGCACAAUUAUAAUGACCACAGUUGUACACCUUAGGCAUUAAUGUGUAUAAUUGCACAUGGCUAAUCUCACUGGAACAAGAUCCUUCUUUCCAGACCCCUUUUGCGGUAAAGCUGGGGUUUCUUAAUACAGUUGUCCAUCCUUAUUUGGAAUAUUACACUGAUGAUUAUAUUUGUCUAGGUUUCUGUGUACUAGACAGCAACCCGCCUCCCCCCCUCCCCCCCGCUUCCUUUGCCUUCCAGCAGGGUGAGGACUCCAUAGCACCCUUAGAUUUAAAGAGUCCAGAUGCACAGCUGUAAUGAUUGCAACCAUGCAUUUAGGACAUUAAUAUUCAUAACUGCAUGUGGCUCACUUCAUUUGACUAAGAUCUUACUCUCAACCCCUUUAGCAGUCGAGCAGAAACGCUGAUCCCUAAAGCCUCUUCUUGGCUUCUUCAUGUUCUUAGUUACUAGAUAAGAGUACCCUAUCCACUCCCCCUUUACUUUUCAAAUGAUGAUGCCCACUACUGUAAGAUCUAUAUACUUGUACAAAGUAUGUAGUUUUACUCGUUCACAGCUAUGUCUCUGGGACAGUAAUGUAUAUCAUCAGGACAUAGUUCAUCCUAUUUAACUAGUUACCCUCUUACCCUCCAUUUGCAGCAUACCAAAGUUUCUAAGUCCCCUUUUUGUGACCUGUUACUUGCAGAGUUUCAUCAGGCUGGGUUCUUGUGUGCUAGACAAGAACACCCCAUCUCUAACCUCGGCUUUUUAAUGAGCAGUGGUGCUCGCUGCUUAAGACCUUUACAUUUGGACAGGUACUGUGCAUUAUUGCAGUUGUGCACAGCUCUGUUACUUCUAGGACCAUUGUACCUCCUUUGCACUACUGCAGGGGAUAUAUAUAUAUAUAAUUGAAAUUUUCUGUUGUCUUUGUCAGAGGACUAAGGUCAUACCCCUCACAUUUCAUGUGGCCUGCAGCAGAGUGUUGAUAACCAAAGUCCUGAUUUUGGACUGUUAAUACAUACAAUUGCAUUUAUUCCUGUAUUGUGCACUACUAGAAAAGGAUCCCAACCUGUUUUCUUAGUAUUUUCAGCAGAAAGUUCCCACUACUUAAGACUCUUUCGCUUGGAAACUUCAUGUACACAAACAAAAUUUUCUAAGCAUGUCUAAUAUCAGAACUCCUGUACCCUCUUUGCUUUAAAGCAGAGAGAUGCUUUCACUUAGUAUCCUUUCAUUUGGGCUUCAGUGUGCCUUAUUAAUAUAAUCGCCCCUCCCUUUUGUGGACUAGAAUUUUAUCUCCUUAUAUCCCCUUUGCAUCAGGAGCAUGUUAAUGAUGAGUGAGCCUUCUCAUGUGAGUGGUUACAUGCUUAAUUAUCUUUGUCUGUGGACUUGUGUAGUAAAAAAAGGACAUUAUAUUAUUAUCAGUGCCUCUUGAUCACUGCUGAGGAGUACCAUUUAUAAUGGCUGCUCUUGAACAGUUAGUGUACAAUAACCAAUUACAGUUAUCCCGAGCAAAGAUCAUUAAAUAGGACCCUGCACCCUCUGUAUGCAUCAGAGGUGUUGACCAAGACCCCUUGGAUUGUUAGUGUGAAUAUAGUUACGUAUGCCUAGGAUGCUAUAUCCUCUUACUCCCCCACUGCCUUACUGUAGGAGCUGCUGACCACCCAAAACACCUCUUGAGACUGAUAAUGGGCACAAUGACAAUUAUUAAUGUUUUUUUUUCUCCUAAAUUAUCUUGGGACUGUUAGUAGGUACAAUGGCAGUCAUAAAUGGUUUUUUCUUUCCUGGCCCUGUUAAAUGAUCCUCUCCCGGUUUCCCAUGGCAUUAAUAAAGUGCAAACAUUGCAGUAUGCCAUGUACUUGUGCAUCAAACAAAUCACCCAUACUUCCAUACCUUUUUCAUUGUUUCAGUAUAUAAAAUCCCAAGUAGCCAUGGUCUCACCAUUUAUACAAGGUCUUCUCUCUCUCCUGCCCCUUGUCUGCCUUGCGUCCCUUCUUAGGGACUAUUUAUGCUCAUAAUAUGGCCAUUAGAUAUGACUGUGCUCCCUCUCCCACCCCCUCCCCCUGCCCCGGCCCUUUUACUUCUUUGCUGGGUAAUGUUGACUGGGCAAGGACCUUUCUCUUGGGCUUACCAAGUUUAAUAAUCCCACAUGUCAUUAGUUUACCCGCUUUUACUGCUGUAAUGUCUCAGUUGUACCUUCCUUGGUCCUGCCCAUUAGACAUGGAGUUCUCCACUUCCUUUACGUUGCUCCUGAGUAGUGCCAGUUACUCAAAGCCACUUGUGUGUUACCAAUGAGCACAGUGUACAUUGUCCCAUUUUUUUUUUUUACCCCAUCAGUCCCAGAUGUCCCUAUCACUUUGAUGUGUUGGUGCAGUAUUACUUAUCAAAAGCAGGCCUGAAUUAGAUGGGUGAGCCUUCACUCUUUUUCUUCCAUUCAUUAAUAAUCUCAGUUCCAAUUAUUGGCAUAUUCUGGGGACAAGAACCUUGCCGCCUCGGUUGCUGUUUAAUUGUGGAAAAUAUGCAAGGCAAGCGAGAGUCAAAGAGCUGGAUUGCCACCUUUGAGUUGGGGCUUUCAGUAUACAGUAUCAACUGAAAAACUUUCUCCCCCAGGAGGAAAGUUAGUGCUUUAUCUGCAGUUUUCCUCUCAGAGCAUAUUACCUGGCUAAGAAUCUCACAUCUUGUCCUUUGUAUGUUACUGUUGUAUGGUGCCAGUGGCCAGGUUACAAACAGAAAAAUUGCUCUUGUUAUUUUAUUUUUAAAGAAAGACAUUUGGAAUGAAAGUGGAAUUGAUCACCUCGUCACUAGCUUUUACUGAAGCAAAAAAAAAAAAAAAAAAUCCAUUUAUAUUAUAUACUUGGUGACCAGUUUCUCAUUUUACUGGGCUAGAUCACCAUGAGUCUUACUGUCUCAGUACCGUAUUACCGAAGGAAUUCUAGAGUGGAACUCUUAGCACCAGAAUCUUUGUUGGGCCUGUACUACAAUGUAAGAGCCAAUUUAUCUUUGGGUUUUACCGUGUUUUGCUUUUAGGAAAAUUACCUAAAUGUUUCAUCCUUAAAUUCUUCACCUUAAGCACUAGCCUUUUCUUAAUUCAAGAAGAUUGCUAUAAAUGGAUUAAAUGAGAGAACAUACGCUGAGGUGCUUUUGAAAACCAUAGGCCACCUUAUUUGAUUAGUCUGUUAUAUAAAGUGUGCCAUUAAAUUCUGCUAAUAAUUUGAAGUGGUUUGAAGAACCACCGUAAAGAUUUACUCUUAAAUGAUGGGACCUGUUUCCCCAUUUUAAGAAAAAUAAGUCAAGAUCUAAUCAUUCUUCUAACCAUAAACUUUUAGUAAGUGUAGUAGAUGCUUAAUAAAAAAAAAAAAAUCCCAUGCUCUAAGUGUAUGAGGCAGUGAUGGCAAACUUAUGGCACACUUGAUGCAGUCGGCUGUCUGUUGUCAUUGAAAGCUUUAAAAGGUUCGUUUUCGCUGCUAUAAGGUGUUCGGUGGUAACUCAAUAUUUAGUGUGAAAUAGCUGAAUCGAAUAACUAGUCGUCCCAACAGCCAUUCAUUGUGGUCAUUGAGAAGGGAUACUAUUCCUCAAGAAGGACGUCAAAAGAUCUGCCCAGCUCGGGAUGCCGUUUGCAUUACUAGCUCCUUGGACAGCUGUAAGAAGAGUUGCUGGCUUUUUAGAAUACUGAUGAAUUUGAAGCUGGCCUCUGCACCCUGACUCAAGACGAAGAUGACUCGAUUUUAGGUGGAUUGAUGACUGCAAGACAGUAUCCAAAGAUCUUUGGGAGAACAGGCUUGUUGCUUUACGGUGCUAGUGACCUAUUCCCUUUGAGGAUCCCUAGGUGGAGAUGGGGCAUGAGGAUCCUCCAGGGGAAAAGCUCACUAUCACUGGGCAACAACCUUAGGUCUAGAGGUUUUACGAACUUUCCUGGACCCAAAUGGAAAGCUGAAGACUCAAAGACAACCAGCAUGCAUCGAUAGGACAGCAUGGACAGCAACUGCUGCAUCAAUAUUGAUUUCAUGAGCAAGUAAUUGUGUUUUACCUGGUCCUCAGUUUCCCUGGAAGCCCUCCCUACAGAAGAACUUCCAGUCAUUUAUAUACUUCAGGUGCCUUGUGAUGUCCAUUAGAUAUAACCUACAAUAAGCUGUUUGAGAAGAGAAAUGAGAGAAUUGUGUCUUUUUAUGUUAUGCUUCUGAUUGAUGGAAGCUUCAUUACUACAGAUGGAAACCUAGCCAAACGUGGCUCACAGUUAUCAUCAGCUCCUGUUUGUUUCCUUCAUAUCUUUUGAAUCAUUGUCCUUUCGAAAAGCAAUGCAAGUGAUGGGUCUUCAGCAGGACCAAGAAAUGUAAACAUGCCAAAGGAAGUCAUCUUUCCUAUCUGAAGAUGAACAUGCUUAGUACUAUAACAUCUGAGAAUAGCAGAAUGCAUCAUAAAUGUGUAUUUGUCUGCUUGUCUAUGUCUUCCUUGAAUAGCUUUGUGCUUCUCUACCUUGAGUGUGUCUUCUUGCCCAUUUUCCGUGUUUGUCUUGUUAAUUUCCUCUGUGUGCCUUUUGCUCAUUUUCUAUUUUUGUUCCUAAGUGUGGUCUGUGCCUUGUCUUCGAUGUAUGUAUCUCUCCUUUUUUCUCAUUUUGUUUCUCUUUGCUCUCCUGGAUCUUGCUUUUCUUUCACUUAUUCCUGUAUGUCUCCUCUUUGGUCAUAUGUUGUGUGUUUCUCUUGCACUUUUCUUAUUGUGCCUACCUUGCUUUUUCUCUUUGUGACUUGUGAUUGUCACCCUUUCCUCUUUUUGUGGUUUGACAUUUCAGCUUUUUCUGAUUCUGGCCUCUUUUCUGCUAUGUCUCUUCCCUAUCUCACGUUUUUCUUUUCUGCAUUUCCUUUCUACCUUUCUUGUUCCUCCUUUGUGUAUCUCAAUGUUUCAGCUGCUUGUGACUUUCUAUUCUAGCAUUCUUGUCUCUGAUUGCUUACGCUACUUUUCUGCUUUGUCCUUUGCCCUUUUCUACUCACCUCUGAAUAUUUCAGCCUCUUCAUGAGUCUAUGUCUGCUCUUUGCUUUCCUGGAAUCCUCUCUUGGAUAUUUCCUUGUUUUUAUGGCCAUAUGUGCACGUAUGUGUGUACUGUGUGUGACAGGGGCUCCCUAACCCCUUUCUAAUAGAUGCAGGAUGUCGGCUAUCAAAACAAGCAUUGCACAGCUGUUCCUCAUGCGAGGCUGUCCUGUGAAGAUGAUCUUGCACUAAAAUAUGUCCCUGGGAUCAGUACUGAAGCAAAACCCAAGGCCUAAGAGGAGCAGAAGGAAGAAGGCCCCAAAUGAGAGACAGAUGGUUUGAAACUGGAGACACAACCUGAAAAGUCCAUGUCCCAAGAUAGGUGGAAGUCUAAGGCCUGAGACCAUGAGAAAUCUCAAGAGCCACGAUAUAUAGAAGAUGGCCUCAGCUGGAUGGAAGGUUCAAGUCUUGAGUUAGAAGGCCAGAGAUCUACGAUAAGAAGGGCUGUUUCUACAGGACACAAGGAACGCUUAAGAAUUUGGACCUAACAUAAGGCUGAAGGACUGAAUAAGCCCAAUGGCAUAGUUUUAAGACCUAAAAACCAGGAUAGAAAACUCCAGACACAAGACCCAGAAAUCAAGCCUCGCUAUGUGGACAGAAGGGCUAAGAAAAACAUCUCAAGGCUGUACCUGGAAACUGGAGGACCGUGACUGAGAACUCAGGAAGUAGAAACCCUAAGACCAGGGAAAGACCAAGAUGAGAACUGUAAAUCCAAGCACUUUCCUAUUGUUAUACCUCUUACUCUUGGACAGUUUUCGUUCUCCCCUUCCAGUUCUCUUAUUUUCAUUUAAUCUUGCUUCUUUUGAGAUGCGGUUUUUGUUGUUGCCAUGUACCGUAAAGAAACAUGUCUUUAGAUUAACAAUAUUAUGGAUGGACCAAUGUUGAGCCCAUUUUUAAUCACAGGUUUUAGCCAUUCAUUAAGGUUUUAGUGUUUUAUAGACUUUGUUUCUCUUCAUGUAUAUUCAAUUUGAGAGGGACACCAAAAUCCAGUUGCUGUCUAUUCAGGCUUUUGCUACUUCGCUCAAAAAAGCAAGCUCCCAUUUAGAUAUUUUUCAUUGUUUCCUAUCCCAGAAGCCCUAGCUGAUGAAAAAGUAAAGCAUCAGGUUGGAAAAAAAAUGCCAGGCUAUCUAGAGAUAACGUGAAGAGCUACUCCAGGAUAUUAAGAAUAAUUAGACAAGAAGCAGACAGAUGUGCCAGCCUUCUGACAAGCACCAGCCUGCCUCACCAUCCUUCUUUGAGCUUAGGUGAGCAGGACUCCUGUAGUUCCUAGUAAUGAUUACUGAAAGGAUGAUUGGGCCUGGCACAGAGUGAGGUCUGGACUCCCUGCUCAUAGUAGUGGCCGUAUAAUUUGAGGCAUUGUGCCAAACCUACUCCAGGGUUUCACACCCAUCUCUAGACUUGACGAUGAGAGAACCUGGGACUGUUGGGUAACAGGUUUAAUCUUUUCCUUGAUUCUUCCACCAUUUUUAUGUAAGAAGUUGAUUUAAGUGAUGAAUAUGUAUGAAAGCAACAUAAAUAACAAGAGAAAAAAUAUGGUGUGCUCAUUAAUACAGUAUUGGCAAUAAGGCACAGCUAAUAUUUGAAAGUACAAUGUAACCUGUGAAACAUUAUCAGGGAUCAUGACAUUUUUUUCUGUAAGGGGUCAGAUUGUAAAUACUUUAGAUUUUGCAGGUCUUAUGGUCUCUGUUGCGUAGUCUUAAGCUUUUAAAGAGAUGAGAGCCAUUCAGUUUGUGAGCUAAGUGGGCUUGGCCUGCUACCUAUAGUUUAAGAAUCCCUGGUAUAAAUGCCAGAGAAUCUUUUCAAAUAAUAUCGAUUUCCUUCUUUGUGCCUAUCCCUGUUCAGGCACUAGGAUGCAGUGACUCUUUGUGAUCAGAUCCAGGUGACCUGAAGAAAAAAUAUAUAAAUGUGCUUUAUACAUUAUAAAACACUUAAAAACUUGUGAAUUUCAGUGUUGAUAAAUGUAUUUAACUACUUAUAAUACAUUCUACUGUAUUAUACUCUAUAGAUAUGAAGAUUAAAAGAAGCAUAAAUAAAAAUGCUUUGUCAAAAGAAUAUAAUGCUAUGUAGACAUAAUAAGUGUCCAGUAAAUGAAUAAUUUGUAUAUUUAAAAAAAAAUUUGUAUAUUCGAGGCCAGUGUAUUUCUAACACACUGGUUAUUCGAGAUAACAAAAUAAAACAUAUGAAAACUGCCUUUAGACUGGAAAAUAUACUGCAAAUACAAGGCAUUUUAAGCCAUUGUGUUCACCUCUAAUGUGACAAAAAUAUCAUGCUAGGCAAUAGAAAUACCAAGGGACAAAGGUAUUCUCUUGGAAGAAAAAGUUUCCGAAAGGAAGUGCAUAUUAAAGUACAUAGUAAAUUAAAGCACUGUAGAAAUGAGUUCCUUACUUGUUUAUGAAUGAAUAUUAACUGCCUCUUAACACAUACCAGGUGUUGUUUGGAUACAUGAAAUCCAAGAGAAAUUCUACCAAGUAUUUCUCCCACGUAAUAAGAGGAAACCUUAUGCUGUAUAUUAUUUGGAUAUAAGGAAGGAGAGCACACUGAGUUUAAUCAGUUGGAAUUUACUGGUGAAGUCAAGUUAAAUUGAUAACCAGUAUAUUUUCUCUGGUGACAGAGAAAAGAUAAAGGAAUAUGAGUGUGCUCUGUAUACUGUAAUGUGCUAUAAAAGACAUUGAACGUUUCUAUGUGACUUAAAUCUUCCUGCAAAUAGGCAUUUUUUUCUAUAAGAUUCUCAUUGUAUGCUGGACCCGCAAUGAGAAGGAUACUAUAAAUAGUUAAACCAGCCAGGUGUGGUGUGUAUGUCUAGUUCCAGCACUUGAGAGGUUGAGCCAGGAUCACUUGAGGCCAGCCUGGAAAACAUAGCAAGACUGCAACUAAGAAUAAGCAAUACAUGUGUCCUAAUGUUCUGUGAACUUUAAAGCACCACAUAAAUGGAACUAUUGACUGUCUUUUUUGGUGCUAAAUGCUAGGUUUCUGAAAUUGUCACAGCUAUUAUAGGAUGCAAAUAAAGCUAAAAUGUUUAAGAAUUGUUAGCUGUUGAACAUUCAGUGUUAAUAUGUAAGGUAUUCAAUGAUGAAUACAAGCAUGGACGGUAACUGUCCAUUAUGUGCCAGUGUCCCUGACACGCACUGAGAAUGCAAAGAUCAAUUAUCUAUUGUAUCCUGGGAAGCAAUAGAAAUGAUGUAUAAAAUCAGUACUUUGUACACUGCCAUUCAUUUAUAAACAAUACCUGGGGAAUAACAGGGAUUAUUUACUAUUAUCCCCAGAGAUACAAGUAGGGGCACUAAAAUUGAUUUUUAUUAUUGAACCUGCAACACAGAUCUGUGUGUGAAUUUAUAAAGCCUAUACAAUUUGGAAUUAACUGUUGAUUUAAUCAGUGAGCAUGAAUGCUUUCUAUGAGGUUCAGAAUUACAUACCUUUGUAUGUAAAAAUUACUAUUACAGAGUGCUCACAGAGAAGAAAUCAAGUAGUAGGUGUGAGAUCCACACCAAAAGUCCACUUAACCACUCCUUCCCUUAUUCAGUGAUGAAGUCAGGAAGGAAGUGGAUUUGUGUAAGGCAGUGUAAUAAAUGCUGAGCUAAGUGGACGAAUAAAAUCAUUUCUAGAAGUUUCUUUCCCAUCUGGCUUGAUUGGGAAAGUGGUAGUUUGUUUUUAAAAAAUCAAAGUGCUAUGAUUUUCCGUUCAGUUUCUUAAAUAUUGAGUGCUGGUAAUGAAGGUGAAUUGAAACCACCCUGGCCUGGCCUAGUUGUGAAGUGAAAAUAAAGGGCUCCAUUGUUGUAAUUCAUCUGAUAAACAAAACAUUGUUUAUGUGGAACAUGCCUUGUAGGUCCUAACUAUAAAUGAGGUGAAAUGGACCUAAUGAAAGGGAAUAAGACCACUGAUCACAGCUGAAGACAGAAAACACCUUGAAUUUGAUUAUUGAGUAGAUAAUAUUUGACUAUCUACUUCAAGGUUGCUUGGUAAGUUUGUUAAGUUGGUCUGUACCAGAAGACCAUUGACUUGACUUGGAUAUGGGAAAAAAAAAAGGCGAUAUUCAUUCAGUCCUGAAUGGAGACACUCAUCAUAGCUCCAGAAAGCCACAAGAGGCACUCACUCAUUGUCCUAAAGUUAAAAAGUUUGAGGAGAACCAAGAUGAAAUGACUGGUUGUAGAAAACCUUUGCUCAUUCCCUGACUCGGAGUCAGGACAACACUUGAGCAGUACAAAAAUGUUUUGAGAUUUAUUAUAGUAAAAAUUUUAUUAAAUCUUAAAGUGCUGUCACUAAGUGCUGAGGAGAAUGAACAAAUUUGAAAACCAAAACCAAAAUGCACUUUAUCUCUGUAGCUUAAUGAUGGAAAUAUAACAAUGAAAAAUCACAGUUCUUUCUUAGUUGAAAAAAUAUUAAACAGCUGUAAUAUGUAAGACACUGAAGUGGUAUGAUGACAUAACACCACCUCGUUGGCAUGUUUGGUAGGAUGGGAGUAAGAGGAGUUUCUAUUUUUUCAUUCAUACAAGUAUUGCUAAGAUGAUGCUAAAUACUAAAUGAAAUCUAUGCCAAAAGCCACCUUGUCUGACUUGGAGAGGGACUAAAAAAGCACCAUCUAUAAUGUCGAGCCAUUGUGUUUUUCCUGGACAGAAAACAAAAAAGAUCUUGACUGCCACUUAUUGGCUCAGAGAUUAAGACUACAGGAUGAAAGAGACCAUUGAUCCAUUUCUUGAUCCAUUUUACAAGUACAUUUAGAUACCUAUUGAAUAUAGGGUUGUUACGUCCUCAACUGGCCCCAGAGAUGGAAGAAAAAUUCAUGCCUUCCCAGAGAACUUCUAAAACUUUCGGUGGUGUUUUCUGGUUAUGGCUACAGCUUGGUCCCUAAAUAAUGCUGUGUAGUUUAAUUCCUAGUUAUUUCUCUUCCACCACUCUGGCCACUACGAUGAGCAGGUAGCUGAUUUUUGAGGAACUUGUUCCUUAAGUCGCUGGAACCCUCCAUAUAGUAGACAAUUUUUCCUAGCCUUCACCCCAUGUUAAAAUUACUGACCGGUGAUGGCAGGAGGAAUGACAGCGAACUAGUUUCCAAACCCCAUUGUCUUUGGAAUCCGCUCAUUCUUGAGCUUGGUUUGAAAUGCAUUUACAAGUUUUAUCUACUUUCAGUUCUUUAUAUGCUGGUGCAUAUACACUACCUCAGUAGCUCUUUCCCAGAAGCAAUCCUCAGAUAGCUCAUAAGUAGAUUUGAGAUGGAGGCAUGACCUCUUUUGCAACAGCUUCUCAAUUUAUACUUUAGAAAUGUUGCCAUCAAAAUACUCUCGAGGGCUUGUUAUGGUAAAAGAGUAUUAGUGGUUGAAAAGAGCUGAAACAUUUACCAAGCUUGCUUAAAAUUUAUGUAUAGUAGAAUAAAAAUUGGAAAUAAGUGACAAAAACUGGAGGAAAAAUGCCCUCUAAGUGCAUGCUUGACUUGAGCUUUGAUCUUUUCUAGUUUACAAUCACUCACAGAGGGUGGGACAGGAGGAAGAGUGAAGGAAAAGGUCAAACCUCUGUCAGAGGGCGAACUUCCUUUGUUCCGGAUUGGUGUUAAGAGUAUUACUGGCGCAAGAUCUAAAUUGGGGUUGCUUUUUAAAAUUGAGUGCAGUUCAAAAACUGAUCACUGUUGAGAUGAGGUACUGAUUUGUUACCAGCUUCUGAGAAAUAAUUAUUUUUGUCCAAAUGGUUGCCACCGAAACCUUGUGUUAGAUGAGAAUAGGCUGACUUGAAUCAGUGUGACCCUUAUAAGGUAGUCUUAAAACAGGAGUCAGAAUUUUAGUGCAAAAUAAGAGGACCUUAUUGUUCAUUGUCGGUCAUUGGUACUUGGAAAGCAUCUAAAUUGCAGUUUGCAUGGCAAGCCAAGAACGGCAUCCGUAAAUGGAGAAGAAAAUAGAUAAAUGGCAAAGGGUAACUGGUGGUACGAGCAAAGUUGAAGACAGUCUGGGGUGAAAUGUUCUAGUUUUUGCAUUGUACACUUUUAGUUAAGUAUCAGAGCUGAAAUAUUAAAAAUGUUUCACUUUUAAAGUGCGUUCCCAGCUGGGCCUGGGCACUCUCCUUUCUUUAACUGGGGUGGUGGUUUCCUGACUGACUGGAGAAUAUAAAUGAGAAAGUAACUGAAAGCUUUCCUUUCAACAAUUUCUGCCACUACUGAUUAAACAAGAAUGGGAGAGAUUGUGCGCCCAUCACCUGCUUUUGUCAUGUUAAUGAAAUUGUGAUGGACAAAUCUGUUUAAAGGAAAUUAGUUUAUCUCUAGCUUUCUACCUCAAAGGGAAUCUGCAUCAAAAUGCUACAGUGGAAGACACUUUGGACUUAUGAACUGAUGUAUAACGUUGAGUAUUGAGUGUUUGCAAGCUUCAAAAAUCUUGCUCAGCAUCAAUGAUCACCAAAAGGGAAUGUAAAGCCAUCUACUUAUCACAAUUGAGACAAAUUUGGGAGUUUGUUGACCACUGUAAAAUAAAAUGUUUUUUUUGAGAA
Chinchilla lanigera (long-tailed chinchilla) is the source of this 13954-nucleotide long non-coding RNA. RefSeq lists it as uncharacterized. Lineage: Eukaryota; Metazoa; Chordata; Mammalia; Rodentia; Chinchillidae. The transcript is spliced from 6 exons. The record is from RefSeq and is a predicted model, not a curated record.